GAACAUAAAUGCCUGUUAAGUCUUACUGACUUUGAAGUAAAACUUUAAAUACACACCUAAGAAACUGUGAAGGAAGGAUUGACAUAACUUGUUAAAGUUUGAUGAAAGAGAGUUGAAAUGUAUUGGAAGAGGGACUCCAAGGAAAAUGAUCCAUCAGAACCAAGUGUUCAUUAUUGAAGCAUAGAGGAUUUAAUAUUUUUCUCAUUAUUUCUCUCCUGAGUCUGAAUAUUUCACAAUAAAAGAAGGUUCUGUAUUUUCAUAAAUUUAAGUUUUACUUUCAGGGUAUUAUUACAGGAUAGUUCUAAUAUCUGAGGCUACCAUUUUAUUUCAGGUUCCAUUAAUUAAGUGAGCUCUGAAAGAGUACCUGUAGAAAAGACAUUCAAUUUGACAUUCAAAAUGACAUCACUCGAUCUAGGGGUUAGAUCAAGAGUUUUGGGUUGGUUCCAGUCAAAAUUAACAAAUAUGCUAAGUAA
RNAcentral lists this long non-coding RNA (473 nucleotides) under Bos taurus (domestic cattle). RNAcentral's name for it is "long non-coding RNA NONBTAT015871". The record is from RNAcentral. Lineage: Eukaryota; Metazoa; Chordata; Mammalia; Artiodactyla; Bovidae.